RNAcentral lists this ribosomal RNA (1480 nucleotides) under Staphylococcus aureus. RNAcentral describes it as "bacterial SSU rRNA". It matches the Rfam family "Bacterial small subunit ribosomal RNA". Lineage: Bacteria; Bacillati; Bacillota; Bacilli; Caryophanales; Staphylococcaceae. RNAcentral also lists the same sequence under 1 other name. The record is from RNAcentral.
GAGAAGCUUGCUUCUCUGAUGUUAGCGGCGGACGGGUGAGUAACACGUGGAUAACCUACCUAUAAGACUGGGAUAACUUCGGGAAACCGGAGCUAAUACCGGAUAAUAUUUUGAACCGCAUGGUUCAAAAGUGAAAGACGGUCUUGCUGUCACUUAUAGAUGGAUCCGCGCUGCAUUAGCUAGUUGGUAAGGUAACGGCUUACCAAGGCAACGAUGCAUAGCCGACCUGAGAGGGUGAUCGGCCACACUGGAACUGAGACACGGUCCAGACUCCUACGGGAGGCAGCAGUAGGGAAUCUUCCGCAAUGGGCGAAAGCCUGACGGAGCAACGCCGCGUGAGUGAUGAAGGUCUUCGGAUCGUAAAACUCUGUUAUUAGGGAAGAACAUAUGUGUAAGUAACUGUGCACAUCUUGACGGUACCUAAUCAGAAAGCCACGGCUAACUACGUGCCAGCAGCCGCGGUAAUACGUAGGUGGCAAGCGUUAUCCGGAAUUAUUGGGCGUAAAGCGCGCGUAGGCGGUUUUUUAAGUCUGAUGUGAAAGCCCACGGCUCAACCGUGGAGGGUCAUUGGAAACUGGAAAACUUGAGUGCAGAAGAGGAAAGUGGAAUUCCAUGUGUAGCGGUGAAAUGCGCAGAGAUAUGGAGGAACACCAGUGGCGAAGGCGACUUUCUGGUCUGUAACUGACGCUGAUGUGCGAAAGCGUGGGGAUCAAACAGGAUUAGAUACCCUGGUAGUCCACGCCGUAAACGAUGAGUGCUAAGUGUUAGGGGGUUUCCGCCCCUUAGUGCUGCAGCUAACGCAUUAAGCACUCCGCCUGGGGAGUACGACCGCAAGGUUGAAACUCAAAGGAAUUGACGGGGACCCGCACAAGCGGUGGAGCAUGUGGUUUAAUUCGAAGCAACGCGAAGAACCUUACCAAAUCUUGACAUCCUUUGACAACUCUAGAGAUAGAGCUUUCCCCUUCGGGGGACAAAGUGACAGGUGGUGCAUGGUUGUCGUCAGCUCGUGUCGUGAGAUGUUGGGUUAAGUCCCGCAACGAGCGCAACCCUUAAGCUUAGUUGCCAUCAUUAAGUUGGGCACUCUAAGUUGACUGCCGGUGACAAACCGGAGGAAGGUGGGGAUGACGUCAAAUCAUCAUGCCCCUUAUGAUUUGGGCUACACACGUGCUACAAUGGACAAUACAAAGGGCAGCGAAACCGCGAGGUCAAGCAAAUCCCAUAAAGUUGUUCUCAGUUCGGAUUGUAGUCUGCAACUCGACUACAUGAAGCUGGAAUCGCUAGUAAUCGUAGAUCAGCAUGCUACGGUGAAUACGUUCCCGGGUCUUGUACACACCGCCCGUCACACCACGAGAGUUUGUAACACCCGAAGCCGGUGGAGUAACCUUUUAGGAGCUAGCCGUCGAAGGUGGGACAAAUGAUUGGGGUGAAGUCGUAACAAGGUAGCCGUAUCGGAAGGUGCGGCUGGAUCACCUCCUUUCUA